GAGGCCAAUAGCGGAUAUAACUCUCAGGCUGGAGUGCCGAGAGUUAGAAACGUUCCGGCGCUGUAGGAUGUGGCUGCGGCCGAUUAGGUAGAUGGUGGGGUAACGGCCCACCAUGCCGAUAAUCGGUACAGGUUGUGAGAGCAAGAGCCUGGAGACGGUAUCUGAGACAAGAUACCGGGCCCUACGGGGCGCAGCAGGCGCGAAACCUUUACACUGCACGACAGUGCGAUAGGGGGACUCCGAGUGUGAGGGCAUAUAGCCCUCGCUUUUCUGAACCGUAAGGUGGUUCAGGAACAAGG
Molecule: ribosomal RNA, 299 nt
Filed under: halophilic archaeon
Lineage: Archaea; Methanobacteriati; Methanobacteriota; Halobacteria; Halobacteriales
Description: partial 16S ribosomal RNA
Rfam family: Archaeal small subunit ribosomal RNA
Source: RNAcentral